UGCCCAGCAACUCCUAUCCCUACCUCCUCGCGGUAAAGGCCGGAAACUAUGACCAACCUUAGGGUAGAUCGGGUAACCAACCCCGAUGGGAACUUUGGUCGUAGGCUGACAGGGAAGG
Aedes albopictus (Asian tiger mosquito) is the source of this 118-nucleotide non-coding RNA. NCBI's taxonomy places the organism in Eukaryota, Metazoa, Arthropoda, Insecta, Diptera, Culicidae. The record is from Rfam.